UAAGGAAUAUUGCUCAAUGGGAGAAAUCCUGAAGCAGCAACGCCGCGUGGAGGAUGAAGGGUCUAUGACUUGUAAACUCCUGUAAAGAAGGAAAAAAUUCCCAUUUGAUGGGAGAUGAUGGUACUUCUGGGGUAAGCCCCGGCUAACUACGUGCCAGCAGCCGCGGUAAUACGUAGGGGGCAAGCGUUGUCCGGAUUUACUGGGUGUAAAGGGUGCUCAGGCGGAUUUGUAAGUCAGAGGUGAAAUCUUACAGCUUAACUGUGAAACUGCCUUUGAUACGGCAAGCCUAGAGUAUGGAAGAGAGUGAUGGAAUAUCUGGUGUAGCAGUGAAAUGCGUAGAUAUCAGAUAGAACACCAAUGGCGAAGGCAGUCACUUGGUCCAUUACUGACGCUAAAGCACGAAAGCGUGGGUAGCAAACA
RNAcentral lists this ribosomal RNA (420 nucleotides) under uncultured bacterium. Its description in RNAcentral is "bacterial SSU rRNA". It matches the Rfam family "Bacterial small subunit ribosomal RNA", at positions 355 to 774 of the family's 1533-position model. The record is from RNAcentral.